This is a long non-coding RNA of Carassius auratus (goldfish), 571 nucleotides long. RefSeq lists it as uncharacterized. The record is from RefSeq and is a predicted model, not a curated record. The transcript has 3 exons. Lineage: Eukaryota; Metazoa; Chordata; Actinopteri; Cypriniformes; Cyprinidae.
CAGGAACUGAAGUCAGUAGGACCGUUGUCAGAGUGAUUUUGAUUAUUGUUGAGUUUGCAGUGUUUGCUGCUCCUACUGUGAUUCUUCUUCAGAUCAUCUGUUCACGAAGAGCUGGGAGGAAGGACUCACAGCACUCAGAGGAAAUAAUGAUUAAUACAAUAUAUGGAAAAAAUUUGCUCUACAAAUAACAGGCCAGAAUACUGCAAGAUUUAUCUUCAUGUCAGUGAUAUUAUGGAUAUGGAGACAACUUUUACUGUUAUUUGCUCUAUAUACUAUACUGAAUGCUUUAAAUAUAAUAUUAAAUACAGAGACAGAAGUACUUUUAGUGACCAUGAAUGGUAAUAACAGAAAUCAUAACAUAAAUACAUAGCAGUUUUCUAAUCUUGAUUCCUUUAUUGUUAUAUUUAACCUUUUAUAGAAGGCUUUUUCAAUCAUAUAAUAGUCAAUUUUAACUGAUGAUGCAACCUGUCUGAUAAUUAUCACAUAUUUACUGAUGUAUUUUGAUGUUUUUUAUUUUUUUAUAACGUAUGACUUAUAUUAUUUUACAUAUGAAAAUAUAUGAAUUAUUGUC